CAUCAGUGAUGCAAGUUGAAUUACCAUCCCGUUUAACACGGCCCAUCCUUGUCCCUAUUUACAUAUCUCACCAUGUUGGGAGGGAUGACUUAAAGGGACACUAUAGCUUACUGUAGUGGUUCUGGUGUCCAUAGCAUGGCCCUGAAGGCUUUGCCAUGUAAACACUGUCUUUUUAGAAGAAAAGUCAGUGUUUACAGCGCUGCCUAGUAACACCUCCAGG
Non-coding RNA from Pelobates cultripes (western spadefoot toad), 220 nucleotides. The record is from the annotation of a GenBank genome assembly. NCBI's taxonomy places the organism in Eukaryota, Metazoa, Chordata, Amphibia, Anura, Pelobatidae.